This 433-nucleotide ribosomal RNA is filed under the name uncultured bacterium. RNAcentral's name for it is "partial 16S ribosomal RNA". It matches the Rfam family "Bacterial small subunit ribosomal RNA", at positions 29 to 507 of the family's 1533-position model. The record is from RNAcentral.
AACGAACGCUGGCGGCAUGCCUAAUACAUGCAAGUCGAACGCUAACUUCGGGUCUAGUGGCGCACGGGUGCGUAACGCGUGGGAACAUGCCCUUAGGUUCGGAAUAACUUCUCGCAAGGGGUGCUAAUACCGGACAAUGUCUUCGGCCCAAAGAUUUAUCGUCUUUGGAUGGGUUUAUGUUGGAUUAGCAAGUUGGUAGGGUAAAAGCCUACCAAGGUGACGAUACAUAGCUGGUCUGAGAGGAUGGUCAGCCACACUAGGACUGUGACACGUCUCGAACUCCUACGGAUGGCAGCGGUGGUGAAUGUUGGACGAUGCGCGAGAGCCUAAGCCAGCAGUGUCGCGUGGGUGAGUAGUACCUUAGGAUUGUAUGGGUCUUUUGCCAGGUAUGAUAAUGACAGUACCGUGAGAGUAAGGUCCGGCUAACUCCGUG